UAAAAUCAACAGGUAUGCUUAUUUUUCAAUUAGAUGUUCAAUUAUUAAGUAUUUAAUUCUUCCAGAUAUAUUUAACAUUUCACUGCCAUGUUUUCAAAAAUCUAAAUGCGAUUUAAAAAAAUUAAUUGUGUCUAUGAAUUAUUUUGGGGGGGGUGGAACUUUUCCUUGUUUUUGCCUUUAUCCUGGAAUGUGGCUUCUCUCUUCUUUAUUCAGGGCUUUUUUUAUAUCCCUCAGUUAAGUUUUGAUAUUUUCUUUACAACUGCUAAUAACCUGCCUCUUUCUUUACAAUCUUUAUAGAUUGUCAUUUGUCUUUAAAAAAAAAUUUUGCAUUGCUGUAACUUUCAGAUCAAUUGUUUUAAAAAUAGUGGCUAUAGCAGGUAGCACAUCUUUUUCAAACAUUAACGUGGGUGUUUCCAUUUUCAGCGUUAAUGAUGGUUGGCUAAAUGUGAGUAAUAGUGGUCUUUAAUAUGGUGAGGAAUAUUGAUGUCUACUCCCGGUUUAUUAAAAGACUUUGUGAAAAUCAAUACUAGUUGUCAAUAUUAUCAAAGACAUUUUGGACCUUAAAGGGUUAAUAUCCCUGUGACUUCCCUUUUGCCUAAUGCGGUGAGUUGUUUGGGGAUUUCUAUAGUAAAUCGUUCUUGCAUUCUUAGAAUAAAUCCUUCUUGAUCUCUAGUGAUUCUGUUUUAAGUUCUACUAAUAAUUUGCCUUAAGUUGUUAAAAUACUUAUGUCAAUAUUUAUGAAUCUAUCAACGUAAAAAGUGAAGCAUAAUUUACUCGCUGGCUUCUAUGUAAAAUGAGGAUGUAAAUAAUCUUUUGUUCUCAUAUUAUAUUCAGACUCACUACCCAGUUUUUGUUCGUGUCAUCUGUGAUUUUAGAGUUGGCUAUUAUUUUUAAUGAGUUUUAUCAUAUUGUUACAAGGUUUUUCUCUCAUUAAGCUGAAGUAUAUCCUCCACAAAUAUGUUCUGGGACAGUUGUCUGCUUUCUCAAUGCAUCACUCAGGUACCUUACAUAUGAGUGACAACUUGGGGACCAUAGGAUUCUUGGAUAACACCUUUUUCCUUCAAAACUUGAUGGAUGAGCUUUCAUUGCAUGAUGGCCUUUGAUGCUACUGGGGAAAAUACAAAGAAGGAAGGAGAAUGGCUGGUAGCCAGCCGCGUGGACCCCUUAGCUUUUCAUCUGUCAGGACACAGGCAGUGAGACAGAGCCCUGGUCACGUGUCUACCUCCACUUUGGAUCUACAUGGAUUAUGUGAAUGUCAACAUGAUUUAGAAUUUUAUCCAAGUUUUCACAAUGGCCAUCCUCCACAGAGCAGAUGGGUUCCAACCAGCACCGCUCCCGCCAUGAGAGAGAUUUCCAAGCCUGGAUUUCAUAAUCGACAUGUGUGCUCACAGGAACUGGAGGGGAAGUCACCCAGCCUCUCUGGUGGUUUGCUGAAGUCCUGGCUAUUUUCCACAGGAGCUAAUCAAACAUCGGAAAUUAAAGGGAAGGAUGAAAGAAGGAACAAAUGGAAGAAGAAGGGAGAGGAGGGAGGGAGAGGGGGAGAGAGAACAGGGAACAUCUGAAAGGGAGAGAAGGUGGAGGGGGGUAAAGAGAGAAAGAGAAGACAGCCAAGAGUGAAAUUCCAGAGGCCACUCCGCAGCUUUCUUUCACGUGUGUAAUAAAGCCGUGAUAUCUAUCUUAGACCACACGCAACCCAUUCUCUUUACCGUGAGACUAGGAUUAUACACCACUGUGGAUAUUUCAGUUUUAAAAGUGCGUUGAGACCUGAUAUGAUACCACAUUAAACACAUCUCCUAUUGAUUCUUUCUAACCUUGCAAAACGAGCUGCGCGGUUAAGUACCUUUUACUCCAGCCUGGCUGAUGGGACCACAGAUGUUAACUGCCGGGCUGAAUUUCCUCGGAGGUCAGCAGACGGGGCCAGAGGGAGGUGACCCGGGGAACAUCUUCUGGUCAGGGGACUAUUUAUCCUUGCAGCCCUCAAAUCCAGUUUGAGGAUGCAUGUCUGGACAAGUCUGAAUCAUGGAGAAAUUAAAUCAAGCCUCACGACCUCCCUACCCACUGUUUAACCAGUCACACGGAUGUGUGUGGCUUCUGAAAAUCUGGAGUCUGUUAUACAAGGAGAACAUAAUUCAUGGUUUGGAAAGCUAAAGUUUCUUGUUCUCAA
Camelus dromedarius (Arabian camel) is the source of this 2164-nucleotide long non-coding RNA. RefSeq lists it as uncharacterized. The record is from RefSeq and is a predicted model, not a curated record. Lineage: Eukaryota; Metazoa; Chordata; Mammalia; Artiodactyla; Camelidae. The transcript has 3 exons.